This is a long non-coding RNA of Hordeum vulgare subsp. vulgare (domesticated barley), 919 nucleotides long. RefSeq lists it as uncharacterized. The transcript is spliced from 2 exons. Lineage: Eukaryota; Viridiplantae; Streptophyta; Magnoliopsida; Poales; Poaceae. The record is from RefSeq and is a predicted model, not a curated record.
GCCCAAUACAUCAAAAUCAACCCAAAAAACAGCCCGGUAUGUCAAAAUCGUCCCAAAUAAUAACCGAACAGACCGAAAUCGACCCAAAUAACAACCUAAAAUACUAAAAUUCUAACAGGGCAACAGACCUGACGUGCCGACAGACCGGCCCAUAUAACCCCGUGUCGUGUUUGGACCUGGACCCCAAACACGUGAGUCAGCACGGCACGACCCAUUUAAUAAACGUGCCUCAACGGGCCGUGCCGUGCCACGUACAAUUCUGCCCGUUUGGCCACUAUGCUUCGGAUUCCCGUGCAUCCACUUUGCCUUGAACCACCCACCAACUAGAGCAGGAGUGAUUUUCCCUGUUCCAUCCAACCCAUCGAUCCACUCCACCUCACCGCAACCAGCCGCACCUUUGCAAUGAGUGAGCCCCUGCUCGAUCUCCUCCCACGAUUCGUGCCCGAGCUCCUCAAGCACCAUGCCGUCCGUGCCCCUUCGCGUCUGGCCAGCCGACGAGCUGCCGGAGACCAGUCAGAUUUUCUUCUCCUUGCUAGAGUUCCGAACUAAUUCGGAGUGUGAGGAUUCGUUCGAUUAUGUUGGUUCGUCGACUUCAUGGCUUCGUUGUUCUUCGAAGCAGGAUUUCGGGCAAGAUGAACAUUUCCUUGGAUACCACUACUAUCAUUGUCAUGCUAGUUGUCAAGUUCAACCUCUAUGUCUUGCUGCCCACCACUUAUUUGUCAAGCCUCCCAAACUGCCAUGAUCAACCCCUAACAUCCACCUUCCCAGCAAUCCCUUGUUUGGCUAUGUUACCGCUCGCUCAGCCCUUCUUAUAGUGUUGCUAGUUGCAGGUGCAAGUUGUUUCCAUAUAACAAUAUGGAUCUUGGGAUACUACAAUAUUAUUGCUAUUUAAUUUAAUACACAUAUAUACUUGGUAAAA